This 263-nucleotide unclassified non-coding RNA is filed under the name plant metagenome. Its description in RNAcentral is "partial contains small subunit ribosomal RNA, internal transcribed spacer 1, and 5.8S ribosomal RNA". The record is from RNAcentral.
UUUCCGUAGGUGAACCUGCGGAAGGAUCAUUAUUGUAUAACCGAGGUGCGAGGGCUGUCGCUGACCCGAAAGGUCGUGCACGGCCGAGUGCACUCACACACAUCCAUCUCACCCCGAUGUGCACCACCGCGUGGGUCCCCCUUUGGCUUGUUCGGAGGGGGGCUUACGUUGUCACACAAACUUUGUAUGCAGUGUAGAAUGUAUUUUUUGUUUUUGCGAUCACGCAAUCAAUACAACUUUCAACAACGGAUCUCUUGGUUCUC